Molecule: long non-coding RNA, 157 nt
Organism: Chelonia mydas (Green sea turtle)
Lineage: Eukaryota; Metazoa; Chordata; Testudines; Cheloniidae
Exons: 3
Source: RefSeq, a predicted model, not a curated record
UAACUAACAUGAUCAGUUUUCCUUUCUCAGAUUCAGCAGUCUUUCUUGGUGUAUUUGAACAUUCUGUUUUGGACGUUCCCACAAAGAAGUUAUUUACCAUAUCUGGACAACAAUACUGAAAAAGAGACACACGUCUAAACUCCAGUCACAUAUUGAU